GACGAACGCUGGCGGCGUGCUUAACACAUGCAAGUCGAACGGAAAGGCCCUGCUUUUGUGGGGUGCUCGAGUGGCGAACGGGUGAGUAACACGUGAGUAACCUGCCCUUGACUUUGGGAUAACUUCAGGAAACUGGGGCUAAUACCGGAUAGGAGCUCCUGCUGCAUGGUGGGGGUUGGAAAGUUUCGACGGUUGGGGAUGGACUCGCGGCUUAUCAGCUUGUUGGUGGGGUAGUGGCUUACCAAGGCUUUGACGGGUAGCCGGCCUGAGAGGGUGACCGGCCACAUUGGGACUGAGACACGGUCCAGACUCCUACGGGAGGCAGCAGUGGGGAAUUUUGCGCAAUGGGCGAAAGCCUGACGCAGCAACGCCGCGUGGAGGAUGAAGGCCUUCGGGUCGUAAACUCCUGUCAGUGGGGACGAAUGCUUCGCAAGAAGUUUGACUGUACCCGCUGAGGAAGCCACGGCUAACUCCGUGCCAGCCGCCGCGGUAA
RNAcentral lists this ribosomal RNA (493 nucleotides) under uncultured bacterium. Its description in RNAcentral is "partial 16S ribosomal RNA". It matches the Rfam family "Bacterial small subunit ribosomal RNA", at positions 28 to 523 of the family's 1533-position model. The record is from RNAcentral.